GCUGAACUGAAACAGUUCUGUAAAGAGGAAUGGUCAAGAAUUACUCCUUACUGUUGUGCACGUCUGAUCUGCAACUACAGGAAACGUUUGGUUGAAGUUAUUGCUGCCAAAGGAGGUUCAACCAGUUAUUAAAUCCAGGGGUUCACAUACUUUUUCCACCUGCACUGUGAAUGUUUACAUGGUGUGUUCAAUAAAAACAUGGCAACAUUUCAUU
Pelobates cultripes (western spadefoot toad) is the source of this 214-nucleotide non-coding RNA. The record is from the annotation of a GenBank genome assembly. Lineage: Eukaryota; Metazoa; Chordata; Amphibia; Anura; Pelobatidae.